RNAcentral lists this non-coding RNA (250 nucleotides) under Clostridium sp. Its description in RNAcentral is "T-box sequence". It matches the Rfam family "T-box leader". Rfam says of the family: Uncharged tRNA acts as the effector for transcription antitermination of genes in the T-box leader family. T-boxes are found upstream of many aminoacyl-tRNA synthetase genes and some amino acid biosynthetic genes usually in Gram-positive bacteria. The record is from RNAcentral. Lineage: Bacteria; Bacillati; Bacillota; Clostridia; Eubacteriales; Clostridiaceae.
CGGAAUGCGUUGAUAGGGAUCAAAGCAUCUGCAACCGAGUUUCAGAGAGCCGUUGUUUGCUGCGAAACGGUGCCGGGCAGAUGUAUAACUCACCUUAGAGCAGUCUGCCGAACGGUUUUCAUACCCAGUAGAGCGGAACGGUUUCUCCCCGUUACAGGAGAACUGCAUUGAUGGAUGCAGGCCGAGUGGGCAUUGGAAACAAUGCCAACAAAGAGUGGUACCGCGACAGGAUUUCACCGUCGUCUCUUUU